RNAcentral lists this ribosomal RNA (465 nucleotides) under uncultured bacterium. Its description in RNAcentral is "partial 16S ribosomal RNA". It matches the Rfam family "Bacterial small subunit ribosomal RNA", at positions 28 to 507 of the family's 1533-position model. The record is from RNAcentral.
GAUGAACGCUGGCGGCGUGCCUAACACAUGCGAGUCGAACGGAAAGGCUCCUUUGGGGGUACUCGAGCGGCGAACGGGUGAGGAACACGUGUGUAACCUGCCCUUAACUUCGGGAUAACCUUAGGAAAGGGGGACUAAUACCGCAUAGGAUAUUUAGUUGCAUGGCGGGGGUUGGAAAGCUUCGGUGGUUUGGGAUGGACUCGCGGGGUAUUGGCUUGUUGGUGGGGUAACGGCUUACCAAGGCGUUGAGGGUUAGCGGGCCUGAGAGGGGGACCGGCCACACUGACACUGAGCUACGGCCCAGACGCCGACGGGAGGAAGCAGUGGGGAAUAUUGCACAAUGGGCGCAAGCCUGAUGCAGCAACGCCGCGUGCAGGAUUACGGCCUUCGUGUUGUAUACCGAUUUCAGCAGGGGCGAGGCUUGUGGUGACGGUACCUGAAGAAGAAGCACCGGCUAACUACGUG